GGCAGGCUCGUAAAAGCAUUGCAGGAUGAAGAUCUAUCCCAUCACUGAAUCCAACACUCUUCCCCCGGAUCAAAAUGACCAUGAAACAAGCGUUUCAGUCAGUUCAGGACAUGGAGGUGGCCCAGUUCAGGACACGGGGUGGCCCAACAACACGCAACUCAAGGCGCUCACAAAAGGAAGGACGUCUUCCAAAACUGCUUCAGAAAGUGACAAGGACCUUGAGCUCCUGGCAGGAGACCCGCCUAGGAAACCUCUCCUCUACAAGAUGUUCCAGGGACCACAUACCUGCCUUGCCCAACACGCAUAGCAGAUGAGUAAUGACUGCGUUUAUAGAUUUUGUGGUGCCCCAGCUGU
This 354-nucleotide long non-coding RNA is filed under the name Cavia porcellus (domestic guinea pig). RNAcentral describes it as "lncRNA (ENSCPOG00000033732.1)". Lineage: Eukaryota; Metazoa; Chordata; Mammalia; Rodentia; Caviidae. The record is from RNAcentral.